RNAcentral lists this unclassified non-coding RNA (180 nucleotides) under uncultured fungus. Its description in RNAcentral is "sequence contains ITS1". Lineage: Eukaryota; Fungi. The record is from RNAcentral.
UUGUUUAAAUUUACUUAAACUCCGACGCAAAGAUGCAGUGUUUGAAGGCCUCCGGGAGCGCUCGCCGUCGGAACGGCAGGGUCGCCCCCGAAGCGACAAGUUGGUGUUCACAAAGGGUUGGAGGUCGAGCCCGAAGGCCCUCGCUCAGUAAUGAUCCCUCCGCAGGUUCACCUACGGAGA